UACGUAGGGUGCAGGCGUUAAUCGGAAUUACUGGGCGUAAAGCGUGCGCAGGCGGUUUGCUAAGACAGGUGUGAAAUCCCCGGGCUUAACCUGGGAACUGCGCUUGUUACUGGCAAGCUGGAGUGUGGCAGAGGGGGGUGGAAUUCCACGUAUAGCAGUGAAAUGCGUAGAGAUGUGGAGGAACACCGAUGGCGAAGGCAGCCCCCUGGGCUAACACUGACGCUCAUGCACGAAAGCGUGGGGAGCAAACAGG
Molecule: ribosomal RNA, 253 nt
Filed under: uncultured bacterium
Lineage: Bacteria
Description: partial 16S ribosomal RNA
Rfam family: Bacterial small subunit ribosomal RNA
Source: RNAcentral